UACGUAGGGUGCGAGCGUUAAUCGGAAUUACUGGGCGUAAAGCGUGCGCAGGCGGUUUUGUAAGUCUGUCGGGAAAUCCCCGGGCUCAACCUGGGAAUUGCGAUGGAGACUGCAAGGCUAGAAUCUGGCAGAGGGGGGUAGAAUUCCACGUGUAGCAGUGAAAUGCGUAGAGAUGUGGAGGAACACCGAUGGCGAAGGCAGCCCCCUGGGUCAAGAUUGACGCUCAUGCACGAAAGCGUGGGGAGCAAACAGG
RNAcentral lists this ribosomal RNA (253 nucleotides) under uncultured bacterium. RNAcentral's name for it is "partial 16S ribosomal RNA". It matches the Rfam family "Bacterial small subunit ribosomal RNA", at positions 524 to 776 of the family's 1533-position model. The record is from RNAcentral.